RNAcentral lists this ribosomal RNA (468 nucleotides) under uncultured bacterium. RNAcentral's name for it is "partial 16S ribosomal RNA". It matches the Rfam family "Bacterial small subunit ribosomal RNA", at positions 28 to 507 of the family's 1533-position model. The record is from RNAcentral.
GAUGAACGCUGGCGGCGUGCUUAACACAUGCAAGUCGAACGGAAAGGCCCUGCUUUUGUGGGGUGGUCGUGGGGCGAACGGGUGAGAAACACGCGUGUAACCUGCCCUUGACUUUGGGAUAACUUCAGGAAACUGGGGCUAAUACCGGAUAAGAGCUCUUGCUGCAUGGUGGGGGUUGGAAAGUUUCGGCGGUUGGGGAUGGACUCGCGGCUUAUCAGCUUGUUGGUGGGGUAGUGGCUUACCAAGGUUUUGACGGGUAGCCGGCCUGAGAGGGUGACCGGCCACAAUGGGCCUGAGAUACGGCCCAGACUCCUACGGGAGGCAGCGGUGGGGAAUAUUGCGCAGUGGGCGGAAGCCUGAGGCGGAGACGCCGCGUGCGGGAUGACGGCCUUCGGGUUGUAAACCGCUUUCGCCUGUGACGUGGCGUGAGUGACGGUAAUGGGUAAAGAAGCACCGGCUAACUACGUG